Molecule: long non-coding RNA, 810 nt
Filed under: Coffea arabica (coffee)
Lineage: Eukaryota; Viridiplantae; Streptophyta; Magnoliopsida; Gentianales; Rubiaceae
Description: long non-coding RNA (CARA_LNC000865)
Source: RNAcentral
ACAAACUUAAACCCCACAUUCGUCGAUACAGGUAAAGCUAGCUCAUAAAAAAGUUUUUCUUCUUCUUCCUCUUUUUUCUUCCAAAAGAAAAGCCUAGAAUGAAAAUUCAGAACUAAAAGAAAAAUGCUCGGCGGUUGAAGUCUUCUCAAUGCAUUUCUCAUCUUCGAUCCCACAUGAAUUUUCACACAAGAAUCUUUGUACUGGAAUAAAAUAGAGGGGUAGUGAUCAUUAGACGAAUCUGUUGCAUCGUACGUAUAUAGCUUUUUCUUCUUUCUUUUUAAGGAAAAAAAUUUAAAGAAUCUGAUUAUGUCUGUAGAUGCAUGCCAAGAAUAAGCAAAUCGUACCAUCCCCAGAAUGACCAAUCUGGAAAAACAAUGUCCAAGGAGGCAUCAUCUCGACAGUAAGCGAAUAACGGCGGCGGGGCCGGUGAAUUUGGUCCGCUUUGAACUUCCUUCAUGAUAGCCGGCCGGUCGUUGCAGUCAAACAUGAGUUCCAGAUCAGGGAGUUGACCUGGGUACUUGCGCAAUAACUGAAGAAUCCCCCACAACGUAAAGGUGUCUCUGCUAUGAUGCGACCUCCUGAACUUCUCCAUGUAAGCCCUUCCAUUGACUAUAACCAAUCGGAAAUGGGCUGUCUUCCUAGCCAUGCUCAGCAUCUCCAACGUAAUUCCUGUUUCUCUCCAUGGCCAUAGGUCUUCGUGGAUCCAACGGAAGUAAUCUGGACACGCAGGUUGAGGAGGACUUGUAGCAAUGUUCUGAUCUUGUACGAGAAGCUGUGAUGGGUAGUAAUUUGCUGGGCAGGUCCGCUUCG